UUAAGCUAAAUUCUCAUUGUUCUAAGGUAGAUGGAUUCUAUGGAGUAUUUCUAAAUACUUUUGUGGAUCUUAAAUUUGAAUUACAUUGAUACUUUCUAGCAUGACCGUUCUUAAUGCUUUUGAAUGUUUGAUCAAUAUUUUAAUGAUUUCAUGAUUUAAAUCUAGCUUUAACGCAUAGGCUUUAGAUUAGUUCAUGCAUGCUAGCAAGAUUAUCAUUUGAACACACUAGAGUAGUUGGAUAAUAGUAGAGAUUGUUGAUGAAAAGUCUUAAUACUUUGCUUAAUUAUAUAAUUUCAAAUGAUUAAUAUUUAAUAAAUUAAGUGAAAGAAAAUAUUGUUUUUGAAAGAUUUAAUGUGGUUAGUAAUUCCAUGAAUGAAAUCUAUUCCCUAGAACGUCCCUUUGCUAAUUAUCUUUAUACUUGAUCAUUUUUAUUGUUUUCUUAGUUUAGUUUAUGUUAGUAGCAUCACAAAUCUACCCCUAAAAUUAGAAGAAUCUUUGAAUAGCUAAAAGAAUAUCAAUAUGAUUUCCUGAGGACAAUACUCGGCCAAGGCCGUUUUAACUAUAUUAUUACUUGAUGUGUGUGCUUGUCCAUAUCAUGUACUUUGAUGAUAUUCUUGUUCAUUUUAAAAGCUUGAAUGAUCAUAUUUUACAUGUCAAACAAAUUUUACUUAAACUUAGAGAAAAAAAGUUUUAUGCCAACUUCAAAAAGUGUAGUUUUUGUCUAGACCAAGCUAAUUUCUUCGAGUUCAUUGUUGGAAAUGAUUGGGUGAAAGUUGAUGGAGAAAAGGUAAAGACUAUUCGAGAGUUGUCAACACCCACCAAUGCAAUUGGGCUAAGAUAUUUUCAUGGUUUGGCUAGUUUUUAUAGAAGAUUUAUUAAGGAUUUUAGGAACAUAGUCUCACCUUUGAUCAAACUUGUUAAAAAACAUGAUAAAUUUGAAUGGAAUGAAAAGCAAGAAAAAACAUUUAAUGAAUUGAUAGAUAAAUUGACCAAUGCAUCUUGUCUUGCUUUACUUGACUCUGAUAAAUCUUUUGAGAUUGAAUGUGGUGCAAGUGAAAUAGGGAUUGGAGUUGUUUUGAUGCAAGAAAAGAGACCAAUCAUGUUUUUUAGUGAUAACUUAAAUGGAGCACAACUUAACUAACUAAAAUUAACAACGAAAUACAUACACUUGUGAUGGUUUGCAAGUUUUGGAAACAUUACUUGUGACCAAAAGAGUUUGUUAUCCACACGGAUCAUGAAAGUUUGAAGCAACUUAAAAAUUAAACAAAGUUAAACAGAGUGCAUGUUAAAUGGGUAGAAUUCCUUGAGACAUUUUAAUAUGCCAUUCAUUACCAAAAAAAGGGGUAGGACAAUGUGGUGGUUGAUGCAUUCUCAAGAAGGUAUGCAUUAUUUUUUUUCCCUUAGUGCAAAAAAUUCUUUGUUUUAAACACAUGAUUGUUUUUUACAAAGUUGAUAUACCUGAAUUUCAUGAUGUUUAUAUGCAAUGUUUAAUUAAAAGGGAAAAUGUGCAUGAUUAUAUUAUGUUUGAUGAAAUAUUUUUUAGGCAGGUAAGCUUUGUAUUCCUAAUGUUCUAUUCGAGAGUUACUUGUAAAGAAGGCUCAUGGGGGAGGACUUAUGGGGCAUUUUGGGAAACCUAAAACAUAUAGCAUGUUGUAUGAACACCUUAUAUGUUGAAAAUGAGGAAUGAUGUGAAUAAAGUGUGCAAGAAAUAUUUCAAAUGUAAUGAAGCUAAGUCUAAGAUACAACCACAUGGCCUUUGCACAUUUUAGGAUAUUCUAGUGAAUCGUAGGUUGGCAUUAGCAUGGAUUUUGUUAUAGGAUUAUCCAAGACUAGAAGACAUCAUGAUAGCAUUUUUGUGGUAGUGAAUAGGUUUAGUAAGAUGGCACAUUUUAUUCCAUGUAACAAAAUGGAUGAUGCUAUUAACAAAAUCUUAGUUCCCAAUUUAUUCUUUAGGCAAGUGGUUAGAUUGCAGGGAGUUCCUAAAACCAUUAUUAGUGAUGAAGAUGCUAAACUUUUAAGUCAUUUUUUGGAAAGUUUGGAGAAAAUUGGGAACUAAGAUUUUGUUUUCAACAACUUGUCACCCACAAACGGAUGGGCAAACAGCAGUAGUUAAUAGAACAUUUGGGGCUUUGCUUAGGUCAUUAAUUUCUAAAAUUCUCAUGUCUUGGGAGGAUACUUUAUCUUUUGUAGAGUUUCCUUACAAUAAAGCAAUACAUAGCACCACUCAAUGUUCACUUUUUGAGGUUGUGUAUGAUUUUAGUCCAUUAACUCCUUUGGUUGACAAAUAGGUAGAUCAUGUUCAAGUAAUAGCCUAAAAGAUCUAUAGUAUAUGGAAAAAGUUUGGUGCCUUAUCCUAGUGACACUAUUGGUCCAAAUUGUUCUUAUAGAGACAUGUGAGUGGAGAUAUUCUAUAAAAAGAGGUUGUAUAAGGCUGGACCACAAAAUAUUUAAUCUCUCUUUGUAAAUAAGUCGAUUGAAGAGAUUUAUAUUUCACAGGAUGAUCAAAUGUGACUCGAUCUUAAUCUUAAGUGAGUUAUGAACUGUUGCCUGUGUGAGAUCGUCCUUUGAUUUUCAUGGGUGAGAGUGGAAAAUGCUGUCGACUAAAUAUGCCUAUUAUUUUAGGGACUUGACCAAAUAAGGAGAUGGGAACGUGAUUUUACAAGAUAGAAUUCACUCUUUCUCAUAUAGGGAAAGUAGAUGAGUAACAAGUGUUGACAUUGGAAAUUGAACAUGGGGCCCAUCCUCUCGCUGGCCUGAGAGAAAUAUAGUUUAUGGUUGGAGCACAAAUGGUUCAUUAGAGAAUCAGUGGUACUUAAGGAGAUAAGCUAAACUUCUCUUCUUUGAUUCUUCCAACACAAAGAGAACUUCUCUCGUUCCUUCACUCUUUCUAAAAGCUCCCACAAGCUGAUCCUUGCCAAGAGUUAUAGUGAGGAAGACCUCGUGGAGGAGAUUAACAACGAUUCAAGGAGCUCCUUCAAGAAAAGGUUUCUACAAGGAUAAUAGCCGAAAAAACCUUUCGGAGGCAUUAUUGUACGUGGAAGAAGAUAUUGCUGUAAAAUCAGGCCGUUCGGAGAAGAAGUGAAAGAAGAAGAGUUCUUCAAAGGAUAAGGCUAAGGAUUGGCUAGAGACUAUACUGUCGGAAAGCAUUACCACUUGGGAGGAGCUAGCCCAAGCAUUCUUGAAUAAAUGGAUGAGAAGCGUACACUAUUCUAGAGGACAUGACAACUAUAAGCUAUAAUUAGCCAAGUGAAAGGGCUUCUUCCAACAAAGUAGCAGAAAUUUAUGAAGUAGAUGAGGUAAGUUCUAUCAAAGCUCAAUUGAUCACAAUUACUAAUGCUUUGAAUAAAUUUAUUACAGUUGGUCAAGCACAUAAUUCACUAUCCAUAGCCUCUCUCGUAGCUAAGGCAACUGAAACUCGACAAAAUUGGAGUUUAUAGGAUACUGAGGAAGCUAAUUAUGUGGAUAGAGGAAAAUAUAGAAGCCAACAACAAGUUCCCACACAAUACCACCCAAGUUUGAGAAAUUGUGAAAAAAAAUUCUUAUGCAAAUAACAUGAAUGUUUUGGUCCCUCUAGGUUUUCCCAAGCUGAAAAACCAUCCUUGGAGGAAUUGAUAAUGAAUGUUAUCAAGGUAACCAAGGAGAAACUGUCUACAUUAGAAUGUUCAAUCCAUAACAUAUUGGGGACCAUACAAAGCCAUGAAAAAUCCAUCCAAAACUUGGAAUGAAAAUGAGUCAAGUAGCUUCUAGUGCACACCAUGCAAAAAGGUAAGUUUCCUAGUUGCCCUCAGAAAAAUCCUAGAGAAGAAUGCAAUAGAAUAACUCUUUGAAGUGGCAAAAAAUUGAACAAGCCUAUUGUGGAUGAGGAUGAACCAACACAAGAGAUGGUUGAAUCCACCAUUGAUCAUAAACGAACAAAUGAGAAACUUGCAGAAAAAUCUGAGUAAAAAACAUGGAGUACUUCCAACUCUUUAACUUUUGUCCCUAAUACUAUUCCAUAUCCUCAAAGAUUUUAGAAAAAGAAGGAAGAUGCACAAUUUUCUAGAUUUUUGGGAAUAUUUAAGAAGUUGCAAGUUAACAUACCUUUUGUUGAAGCUUUAGAGAAAAUGCCAAAGUAUGUUAAAUUCAUGAAGAUGUCCUUUCUUAGAAGAAAAAGUUUGGUAUGUAUGAGACAAUGGCUUUGAAUGAAGAAUGUAGUGCAGUAAUAUAAAAGAAAUUGCUUCCAAAAUUGAAAGAUCUAGGGAGUUUUUUUAUUCCUUAUCAAUUAGGUAAUAUUACAUUAUUGGAGAAUUAUGUGAUCUUGGAGAGCUUCAAUUAAUUUAAUGCCUUUAUGCAUUUUUAAGAAGCUUAACUCUGGAGAGGUGAAAGCAACAACAAUAUCCUUGCAAUUAGCCAAUCGAUCUUAUACACAUCCUUAUGGCAUUGUUGAGGAUGUGUUGGUUAAAGUGGACAAGUUUAUAUUUUCGGUAGACUUUAUGGUGCUUGACAUGGAAGAAGAUGCCGACAUUCCAAUAAUCCUUGGAAGACCAUUCUUGGCUACAGGUAGGGCUCUCAUUGAUGUACAAGAUGGUAAGCUAACAUUUAGAUUCAAUUAUGAAGACGUAAAAUUUGAUCUUUACAAAACCCUUAAGCAUGCAGAUAUUGAGGUAAGUCAUGAGCCUCAUGAAACAAGUAAGUUGGUCAAUAUUUUCCCUUCCUUUAAUAAAUGUUCUUUGAAUGUGAAUUCUUCUUCUAAGGUGAUUGAUAAAAUUGAUGGAGUGGAUAUUGAAUGUGAUGAUAAAUUAGAAAGUGAAAAAUUAGAAGAACAUCCUGUUAAGGAUCAUGUCUCUACUUUUGUCGAUACUUCUAUUAAUUGUAUGCCUUUAAACUCUAGUUCUAAGCUGGAGUAUGAAAAAGUAAGGGAGAAGCAUGUUGAAGAAGAUGUGAUUAAUUCUGUGAGAUCUCCUAAAAAUGAUACAUUGAAUUUUCUUGAUUAUGUUUAUAAAGUAGAUGUUGAUUUGAUGCAUGAUGUAUACUGGCAAUGUCAAAUUAAAUGAUGCUUGUUUUUGUGAAUGUCAGUAUGGGCAAAAACUUUUGAUUCUAGGAUGUUCUAAGAUUGACAUGACAAAACCACCUUGGGAUCCAACAUGAUAGAUGAGCCUCAUCAAGCUAGAAGGCGUUAAACCAAAUGCUUAUUAGGAGGCAACACAAAUUUUUAAUUGCUUUCUUUAUAUUUCUAUCUUUAGUUUAGUUUAGUUCUUUGUUUUUCUUUUUAAAAAUAAUGGAGUCACUCAUACUUUAAUAUUUUUUAGGAUCAUUAUCUAACACAAAAGUAUUCAUUCAACUAUCCUAUUCGAUGGACUCCCAUAGCUCCUAGGCUUGUAUCUCUAUCUUUCUCAUGCAUUGGGCACAAUGCAUACUUUUAAGUUUGCGGUGGGAGGUCAUUCGUACUUUUGUGUGUUAUGUAUGUUAAUUUUGUUUUAGUUGAUUAUAUGCAUAUCAUUUUUUUAAAAAAAUCAGAGAAACUUUUAAAAUUUUGAUUGAGAUUUGAGAAGAUGAUGAGAGUUCUUUGUUGUUUGUUUUUUAUGUUGAUUGUCAUUGAUGAAAUUUGAAUAUGCAUGUUGGAUGGAUUAUAGUGGAAAUAAGAUAGCAAUAUCUUGAGAUAUAAUCUAUUUAUGUCCCUCUUUGAGUCUCUCAUAUCAUUAGCACGUAUUCAUUUUAAUUUAGAAACUUGAACUAGAAGUAGAAUUGAGUUGAGUGUAUUUGGUUGUCACCUCGAAAGUCCCCACCAGUUCGAGAAUAUCUUUCAUGAUGCUUGGUAAUGUUUUACUAAGAAAGAGAAAAAGAUUGUA
Molecule: non-coding RNA, 5828 nt
Organism: Benincasa hispida (wax gourd)
Lineage: Eukaryota; Viridiplantae; Streptophyta; Magnoliopsida; Cucurbitales; Cucurbitaceae
Source: RefSeq, a predicted model, not a curated record